UACGGGGGGGGCAAGCGUUGUUCGGAAUUACUGGGCGUAAAGGGCUCGUAGGCGGCCAACUAAGUCAUACGUGAAAUCCCUCGGCUUAACCGGGGAACUGCGUCUGAUACUGGAUGGCUUGAGUUCGGGAGAGGGAUGCGGAAUUCCAGGUGUAGCGGUGAAAUGCGCAGAUAUCUGGAGGAACACCGGUGGCGAAGGCGGCAUCCUGGACCGAUACUGACGCUGAGGAGCGAAAGCCAGGGGAGCAAACGGG
Molecule: ribosomal RNA, 253 nt
Filed under: uncultured bacterium
Lineage: Bacteria
Description: partial 16S ribosomal RNA
Rfam family: Bacterial small subunit ribosomal RNA
Source: RNAcentral